Coffea eugenioides is the source of this 2183-nucleotide RNA transcript. It is a transcript of the gene named protein ANTHESIS POMOTING FACTOR 1, with no coding region annotated. NCBI's taxonomy places the organism in Eukaryota, Viridiplantae, Streptophyta, Magnoliopsida, Gentianales, Rubiaceae. The transcript is spliced from 13 exons. The record is from RefSeq and is a predicted model, not a curated record.
GUUAAUUAAACGUUGGUAAAAAAAAUUUCUCUGAAGCUCGUAAAGAAAAUCCUCAAAUUCGCAAAGUUCCCGAAGAAGAAGAUGACUGGAGGACAAUCCGAUAGAGAGGUCAAGGUUUCCCUGGAACUCACCGAAGAAAUUCUACAGAGUAUGGAAGUUGGCAUGGCUUUUCGUGACUAUAAUGGUAGAAUAAGUUCAAUGGAUUUCCACAAGACAUCCCCUUAUCUGGUGACUGCUAGCGAUGAUGAAUCUAUCCGGCUGUAUGAUGUGGCAAAUGCAACAUGUUUGAAGACUAUUAAUAGCAAAAAGUAUGGGGUUGAUCUUGUUAACUUUACUUCUCAUCCGACAACUGUCAUAUACUCCUCAAAGAAUGGGUGGGAUGAAUCUUUGCGGCUUCUUUCAUUACAUGAUAAUAAGUAUUUGCGAUAUUUCAAGGGUCAUCAUGAUAGGGUUGUGUCUCUUAGCUUGUGCUCUCGGAAAGAGUGUUUUAUCUCUGGAUCUCUGGACCGAACUGUUUUGCUUUGGGACCAAAGAGCAGAGAAAUGCCAGGGUCUUCUACGUGUGCAGGGAAGACCAGCUACAGCUUAUGACGAUCAAGGUCUUGUUUUUACCAUUGCUUAUGGAGGAUAUAUAAGAAUGUUUGAUGCUCGCAAGUAUGAAAAGGGCCCUUUUGACAUAUUUUCGGUUGGGGGAGAUAUGUCUGAUGCUAAUGUUGUGAAGUUCAGUAAUGAUGGAAGACUGAUGCUUUUGACAACUUUAGAAGGUCAUAUUCAUGUGCUUGAUUCAUUUCGUGGAACGCUUCUAUCUACAUACAAUGUCAAACCUGUUUCAAGUGGUUCGACAUUAGAGGCAUCUUUCAGCCCAGAGGGAAUGUUUGUUGUUUCAGGUUCUGGGGAUGGUAGUGUCUAUGUUUGGAGUGUUCGAAGUGGCAAAGAAGUAGCCAGUUGGAUGAGUACUGAAGAUGAACCACCAGUCAUAAAAUGGGCUCCUGGAAGUCUGAUGUUUGCUACAGGUUCUUCAGAGUUAUCAUUUUGGAUCCCAGAUUUAUCCAAAUUGGCAGCUUAUGGAAGGAAGUAGAAAGUAUCUUGGUACCUCCCUGAAAUGUUGUAGUCAGGAGCACUAACUGACAAAAUAGAAUCAGUGAGUAAUGCAUUGGUCGGAUGCCCUUUAUUCUGUAGGCAAUUUAUCAGUUAUCCUCAUUCUGAUGCUCCUUGAUCGUCAAUGGUUAAUAUGACCCAGUUUCAGCACAUCCUCUGAUGAAUGCAACUUGCAGAUCAGGUAGAUGGUAUAUCAAGUGUCUGCAUGACCUGCUUUUAACCAUUAAAAACACAGAAGACAGAGAAGGAUACAUACAACUUGAGUUUGGUAAGAGUGGUGAUUGGAGAGUAGUCUCAACUCUCUCGUGGGUUAAAAUGCUGGCUACUUAAGUGACAUGUGAAACUAACAGAAUAGUGCAACAAAAGCGUUGCACAGAAUGUUGGGAUCAAUCAAUAUACAGAAGUGACCAACUUGAUAACUAAGGAGCCUUGCAAGGAUAAAAGGUGAUGAUGCACUCAUUGCCUCACUUUUCUAUAAGGGACAUUACGUGCUUGAAGCCUCAAAAAGUGCCGAAGAUCGCAUUGGAUCUACGAUUAAAUCUCCACGCAUCCAUUUGCAACAGGAAGAAGCUUUCUCCAUUGUUUCCUCUCUGGUGUUCUCACUCUUUGGGACGAUCGAUGGGGGGUCCCGUGCCCUAUAUGUGUUAUUAGGGUUCUCGAACGCCAAAAAGUGGGAGUAAUUGUCAAACCUCAUAGAGGAAAGCAUCCGCCCAAAAUCUUGUUGAUUGUGACCUUUACAAUUACAAAGCUGUUGAACACACCAGGCAAUGGGGGCCAAGAAAAUUGGUGUACCCAGCACUACAGUAUACCCGAUAAAACCUCACCCUUCUCGAGUGAAUGUCUCUACGUACCUAUGACAAAACUGAUAUGGACGGUCCACAUGUCAUCAAUGAUCCGAAUGUCAGUUGGAUUAGCUUUGUCUGUUUUCCCAAAACUUGUUUGGAUGACUAGCUUGUCUCGAGUCAAUUGCAUCACGAUUUUCUUCCUGGUUGGAACAGUGAAUCACAAUUCACAAUAGAAGCAAAGAAUGAAUUGGAAAAUUUCGAUUCUAUUCUUUCUUGCCUCCUAAAUUUUGAUUUUUGUAAA